Molecule: ribosomal RNA, 440 nt
Filed under: uncultured bacterium
Lineage: Bacteria
Description: partial 16S ribosomal RNA
Rfam family: Bacterial small subunit ribosomal RNA
Source: RNAcentral
CCUACGGGAGGCAGCAGUGGGGAAUAUUGCACAAUGGGCGAAACCCUGAUGCAGCGACGCCGCGUGAGUGAAGAAGUAAUUCGUUAUGUAAAGCUCUAUUAGCAGGGAAGAAAAUGAUGGUACCUUAGUAAGAAGCCUCGGCUAACUACGUGCCAGCAGCCGCGGUAAUACGUAGGGGGCAAGCUUUAUCCGGAUUUACUGGGUGUAAAGGGUGCGUUGAGGGACGUGCAAGUUCGAGGGGAAAGUCGUGGGCUAAACCCUUGGACAAUUCUGGAAACUGUUUGGCUAGAGUGCAGGAGAGGUAAGUGGAAUUCCUAGUGUAGGGGUGAAAUGCGUAGAUAUUAGAAGGAACACCAGUGGCGAAGGCAGCUUACUGGACUGUAACUGACGUUGAGGCACGAAAGCGUAGGGAGCAAACGGGAUUAGAUACCCGUGUAGUC